CCUACGGGAGGCUGCAGUAGGGAAUCUUCCACAAUGGGCGCAAGCCUGAUGGAGCAACACCGCGUGAGUGAAGAAGGGUUUCGGCUCGUAAAGCUCUGUUGUUGGAGAAGAACGUGCGUGAGAGUAACUGUUCACGCAGUGACGGUAUCCAACCAGCAAGUCACGGCUAACUCCGUGCCAGCCGCCGCUGUAAUACGGAGGUGGCAAGCGUUAUCCGGAUUUAUUGGGCGUAAAGGGAGCGCAGGUGGUUGCUUAGGUCUGAUGUGAAAGCCUUCGGCUUAACCGACGAAGUGCAUCGGAAACUGGGCGACUUGAGUGCGGGAGAGGACAGUGGAACGCCAGGUGUAGCGGUGGAAUGCGUAGAUAUAUGGCAGAACACCAGUGGCGAAGGCGGCUGUCUGGUCUGCAACUGACGCUGAGGCUCGAAAGCAUGGGUAGCGAACAGGAUUAGAUACCCUUGUAGUC
This 465-nucleotide ribosomal RNA is filed under the name uncultured bacterium. RNAcentral describes it as "partial 16S ribosomal RNA". It matches the Rfam family "Bacterial small subunit ribosomal RNA", at positions 338 to 795 of the family's 1533-position model. The record is from RNAcentral.